GUGCCAGCCGCCGCGGUAAUACGUAGGUGGCGAGCGUUGUCCGGAUUUACUGGGUGUAAAGGGCGCGUAGGCGGGGCGGCAAGUCCGAUGUGAAAUCCCGCGGCUCAACCGUGGAACCGCAUCGGAAACUGUCGUCCUUGAGUAUCGGAGGGGAAAGCGGAAUUCCUAGUGUAGCGGUGAAAUGCGUAGAUAUUAGGAGGAACACCGGUGGCGAAGGCGGCUUUCUGGCCGAAAACUGACGCUGAGGCGCGAAAGCGUGGGGAGCAAACAGGAUUAGAUACCCUGGUAGUCCACGCCGUAAACGAUGGAUACUAGGUGUGGGAGGUAUCGACCCCUUCCGUGCCGUCGUAAACACAUUAAGUAUCCCACCUGGGGAGUACGGCCGCAAGGCUGAAACUCAAAUAAAUUGACGG
RNAcentral lists this ribosomal RNA (413 nucleotides) under uncultured bacterium. RNAcentral's name for it is "bacterial SSU rRNA". It matches the Rfam family "Bacterial small subunit ribosomal RNA", at positions 505 to 916 of the family's 1533-position model. The record is from RNAcentral.